RNAcentral lists this ribosomal RNA (406 nucleotides) under uncultured bacterium. RNAcentral describes it as "partial 16S ribosomal RNA". It matches the Rfam family "Bacterial small subunit ribosomal RNA", at positions 30 to 526 of the family's 1533-position model. The record is from RNAcentral.
AUUGAACGCUGGCGGCAGGCCUAACACAUGCAAGUCGAACGAGUGGCGGACGGGUGAGUAAGAUCUGGGAAACUGCGCGAUGGAGGGGGAUAACUACUGGAAACGGUAGCUAAUACCGCAUACCAUCGGAUGUGCACAGAGGGGAUUAGCUAGUAGGUGGGGUAACGGCUCACCUAGACGACGAUCCCUAGCUGGUCUGAGAGGAUGACAUGCCACUCUCGAACUUAGACACGGUCCAGACUCCUCAGGGAGGCAGCACUGGGGAAUAUUGCACAAGGGGCGCAAGCCUGAUGCAGCCAUGCCGCGUGUAUGAAGAAGGUCUUCGGGUUGUACAGUACUUUCAGCGAGGAGGCGUUACUCGCAGAAGAAGCACCGGCUAACUCCGUGCCAGCAGCCGCGGUAAUUC